This is a long non-coding RNA of Mandrillus leucophaeus (drill), 547 nucleotides long. RefSeq lists it as uncharacterized. The record is from RefSeq and is a predicted model, not a curated record. The transcript is spliced from 3 exons. Lineage: Eukaryota; Metazoa; Chordata; Mammalia; Primates; Cercopithecidae.
GAAGAUCAAAGCAGUGGAAACCACAAAAUGCAGAGAACCAACAGUGGAGCCAUGCCUAGUGAGAAGCAAAGAGACGCUGGAUGGCCUGAGAAAGGGAGAGAGAAUGAGAAAAGCUGUCAGCUUUUAGUUCCUGGUUCCAGUCCUUCAUGAGGGCCAGCUUGAUUCCAGAGAAAAGGUAAUUUGGAAAAUAUAGCCAUUUUUGGAAGACUGAGCAGCCAAGGUUCUUAAGUAUAGGAGACUGGGACCAAAAAAAAAAAGGUGUAUAACAGUUCACAACUUCAUCUACAGCCUCAAGCCAAGAACUAUGAAAAAGAUAAUGGUGUCUGAUGACAGGCCCCUACUAACAGUGUAAGGCUAUCUGUGAACUCCUCAGUCUACACAUAUCUUCCUCAGCCUCUGGGAUUCCAUUUCCACCCAAGAAUCAAAUUGAUAGAAAGAAGAACAGCAAAAUAUACACAUAUUUUUCCACUAUUAAAUCCAAUAAUGAUGACUUAAUUUCAGCAAAACAUCAUCAAUCGCAUUAAAUUAAUGUUGCCGUUAAUUUGAA